This 84-nucleotide transfer RNA is filed under the name Pseudobdellovibrionaceae bacterium. RNAcentral's name for it is "Bdellovibrionaceae bacterium tRNA-Leu". It matches the Rfam family "tRNA". Rfam says of the family: Transfer RNA (tRNA) molecules are approximately 80 nucleotides in length. Their secondary structure includes four short double-helical elements and three loops (D, anti-codon, and T loops). The record is from RNAcentral. Lineage: Bacteria; Pseudomonadati; Bdellovibrionota; Bdellovibrionia; Bdellovibrionales; Pseudobdellovibrionaceae.
GCCCAAGUGACCGAGUGGUUAAGGUGUUGGACUUAAGUUCCACUGGUUGUUUAAACCGCGCAGGUUCGAACCCUGUCUUGAGCA